Molecule: ribosomal RNA, 414 nt
Filed under: Escherichia coli
Lineage: Bacteria; Pseudomonadati; Pseudomonadota; Gammaproteobacteria; Enterobacterales; Enterobacteriaceae
Description: partial 23S ribosomal RNA
Rfam family: Bacterial large subunit ribosomal RNA
Source: RNAcentral
GCUCAUCACAUCCUGGGGCUGAAGUAGGUCCCAAGGGUAUGGCUGUUCGCCAUUUAAAGUGGUACGCGAGCUGGGUUUAGAACGUCGUGAGACAGUUCGGUCCCUAUCUGCCGUGGGCGCUGGAGAACUGAGGGGGGCUGCUCCUAGUACGAGAGGACCGGAGUGGACGCAUCACUGGUGUUCGGGUUGUCAUGCCAAUGGCACUGCCCGGUAGCUAAAUGCGGAAGAGAUAAGUGCUGAAAGCAUCUAAGCACGAAACUUGCCCCGAGAUGAGUUCUCCCUGACCCUUUAAGGGUCCUGAAGGAACGUUGAAGACGACGACGUUGAUAGGCCGGGUGUGUAAGCGCAGCGAUGCGUUGAGCUAACCGGUACUAAUGAACCGUGAGGCUUAACCUUACAACGCCGAAGGUGUUU